RNAcentral lists this non-coding RNA (44 nucleotides) under Schistosoma mansoni. The record is from RNAcentral. Lineage: Eukaryota; Metazoa; Platyhelminthes; Trematoda; Strigeidida; Schistosomatidae.
ACCAGCCAAGGAGUCUCAAAUAGGACGAAACGCGCGUCCUAGAU